GGCCUAUGCAGAAAAUACUUUGAAAUCACAGAAAUGCACAUCAGGAAAUGAUCAAAAUGAAAUAUGUGCAUCUUGGAAUGCCUUUAAACACAGUUUAAGGAGGAGUGUGUGCUUUUACUCAAACAUCUGUUAAAAAUUUACCCAUUAUUUUCUUGAAGAAAUUCAAGGUCUACAAAACAAAUCAUUAUUCAUGAACCCAUUUGAUUAAACGGUUUUUAUAAGGAGAAGCAUUAUCCGAUCUCUUGACUGACACUGAAAUGCUUUGGACAGUGCAUAACAGAAGUUAUUUUAAUGUGAGACUGGAGACAGAAAUGUGAGACUGGAAGGCCGAAGUUCUUUUGAUAACAUUUCAUUCAGCAAUAUGACACAUAUGUCCAAUUAGGUAGUAUAAUUUUUCUUGACUACUGAAAACAGUUUGAAUCUGGAUUUGGCAUCAAGCAACACAAAAACCAGAAGCCGAUCUGGAACAAAAGAGAUUUGCUCGAAGGCCAUUAGACAAAACCCGCUUCGAGCGAUCAUGGAUUACGAGAAAACACCAGCUCCAACAUUCAAAUAAUUCACUUUCACAUAGCUCACAUGCUGUCAGACUUUUCUUGGAAUCAGGUUCGAAACUAAUACUUAAGUGUAAAUACAUUAAACAUCAAAACACAGUUUCUCUAGAAAUGAAUAACAUUAUUCAGCUAAUUUCAGUGUUUGAGUUUAGCAUCUCCUAUAUACAGUAGGCCCCUGGCGGAGUCAGUCUGUGCCACGUUUUGUAAAUAAAAUCCGAAUCAAGCACUUUAUUUUGCGGUGUAAGUGUGCACACAAAUAUACCUCGUACACAAAUGUCUUGCGUUUACACAAAGUAUGCAACUAAUAACUGUGUGAAGGCAGCAUGGCAUGCAGCAUGUAAGUGAGGGGAUAAAUGUAGCUCGAUAUUCCAUAAAAUAACGAGCGGAAUACGGAGCCAGUCACAGAAAUUCACACAUUAGCCUACUCUCCUCCCGCUUUCCACCUCCGUUUGCGCAAGAGCGAAAGAAGCGGAAAGAAGUCGGUUUUUUCUCUAAACCUCCCUCUGCGCGUCCGAGUCUCUCUUUCUCUCUCCUGUGGGCGGAGGAGGUGACAAGGGAAACCCGUUAGUUCCUCCUCCUUCGCGUCUAUAUAACGCUGAUGAUGUCUCCCCUCGAGCAGAGCUGCACCUGCCGUGGAUGUAUAGCGCUUUAUUUACACGCCGUUUCUCGAGAUGUCCGCGUCCGCAGAUGUUGAGAGCCAGUCGCCCGCCGCGCGCUCCCGCAGCCGGUGUCUGGACACCUUCCUCACCGUGUCCGUGAUCGCGCUCUUCCUCAUGUUUAUGGUCGCGGGAUCGGGAGCGCUGUACUUCGCCAAACACAUCGAGGACGAGAUAGACGCGCGGACGACGCGACGCUCAGACGGAUCCGCGAACGCGUUGGUCGCACCGUUCGCCAAGACCGGAAACGCGUAUAAGAUGCAGAAUUUUGUUUACCUGAGGGCCACUGAAAGUGAACUCAAAACAGGUGUGAUGGCGUGGGAAACAUUCGCGUAUGGAAAGGGUCAAACCAUUGGCUCUCGCUACAGCUAUGAGGAAAAGCAGAAUGUGCUGAACAUCAAGGAAGGAGGAACCUACUUCUUGUACGUCCAGCUCAAUUUUUCCUGCACUGGACGAUGUCUAUCUGGCCAAUUCACUGUCAGCUUUUACAAUAAACACAAUAGUGAGGAGCUCAGCUGCACCGUCUCGCUGCCUGUGUGGAGCAAAGAAGCGCCUCACAGUCAGACGUGUUGGCGUGUCGUGACCUUUCCGGAAAAUGAAAACCGCCUCAUGGCCAAAUCACAGACUGAAGGCACACUAAACAACUGGAAACUGGAGAUGAAUGACUCUGGCUUUGGGAUGUUUCUGGUGGACGGAUUUGGAGCGCUGCAUCGCACGUGAUCAGCAGAAGCCUGACCAAACUGAUUUACUCAGGACUUGUUUUUUAUGCUUUGAUGAGCAGGACUCCACUAAUGUCCAUAAACUCUAUUGGCUAAUUUGGCAAUGCCUUCAGCUACAAAAAGAUCGUCUCUUUUACGUUUUUGUCACGAUAUUCAAAUGCAUUCUGCCAAAUUAUGCAGAUUUUACUCUACAACUAAAGCUCAGAAAAUGCAACGGCUUCUGGAGACUUUGUCUGGGCCUGAACUGAUAAGCAAUGCUUCUUAAGCACUAUUUAUAACUGAAAUAUAUUUAUAUGUGUAACGUGAAAUAUUUGCAAUAUUUAUAUUCAUAUUUUGUGUAUACUGUACAUAGUGUGUUCAAACAUUUGUAGACAUCACUACGUGUGCGGGGCGUCAGACCGAACCCUUUCGUUCACUGAUUGCAUGUACUGUAUUUAUUCUACAGAUGUAUAGGUGCAUCACAGAAAUAACGAGUCAACUUUGACCAGCACAUCAACACUAGUGCCUUGGUUGGGUCUGUACGCUUCGCGGUAUGUUCAAGAACUCACAAGGCUGCAUGAGUGAAUGUACGUGAACGUCUCUUCACGAGCAUGCACUUUUCUUGUGCAUCUGGUGUGAAGGAAAGCACUGUAUGAAUGCUAACAAACUCAGGAACUCUAGAGAUGAAUGUAAUGACGAUUGUGUGAAAUGCUUUACUUUGUAAACAGAGUAUUUAAUAAAAAUGCAAAAAGUUUGAUUUACAUGACUGUGGGCCGUUUGUUGUGGUGAGAUGAUGCUAGCGCUCUUCGCUGUUACUUGAUGCUUAUGUUGCAGCUCAGACAUUGCCCUUUUAGAGUUAUAACGGAGUUUUAUUUAAGCAUCAGCAGAUGUUUCCUAAAAUAAAAC
Long non-coding RNA from Cyprinus carpio carpio, 2811 nucleotides. The record is from Ensembl. Lineage: Eukaryota; Metazoa; Chordata; Actinopteri; Cypriniformes; Cyprinidae.